CCCUUAGAUGUUCUGGGCCGCACGCGCGUUACACUGAUGCAUUCAACGAGCUUAUAACCUUGGCCGAGAGGCCUGGGCAAUCUUGUUAACGUGCAUCGUGAUAGGGAUAGAUUAUUGAAAUUAUUAAUCUUGAACGAGGAAUUCCUAGUAAACGCAGAUCAUCAAUCUGCAUUGAUUACGUCCCUGCCCUUUGUACACACCGCCCGUCGCUCCUACCGAUUGAGUGGUCCGGUGAGGCUUUGGGAUCUGAGCGGAAAGAGCGUUUCGCUGUUUCUGCUCGGAAAACUCAGUCGAACCUUAUCAUUUAGAGGAAGGAGAAGUCGUAACA
Molecule: ribosomal RNA, 328 nt
Filed under: uncultured eukaryote
Lineage: Eukaryota
Description: partial 18S ribosomal RNA
Rfam family: Eukaryotic small subunit ribosomal RNA
Source: RNAcentral